Molecule: ribosomal RNA, 1415 nt
Filed under: uncultured prokaryote
Description: partial 16S ribosomal RNA
Rfam family: Bacterial small subunit ribosomal RNA
Source: RNAcentral
AUUGAACGCUGGCGGUAUGCCUAACACAUGCAAGUCGAACGGGAAUCUUAGGAUUCUAGUGGCGGACGGGUGAGUAACGCGUGAGAAUCUGCCCUCAGGAGGGGGAUAACGGCUGGAAACGGCCGCUAAUACCCCAUAUGCCGCGAGGUGAAAUGAAUUUCGCCUGAGGAUGAGCUCGCGUCUGAUUAGCUAGUUGGGGGGGUAAGGGACCACCAAGGCAACGAUCAGUAGCUGGUCUGAGAGGAUGAGCAGCCACACUGGGACUGAGACACGGCCCAGACUCCUACGGGAGGCAGCAGUGGGGAAUUUUCCGCAAUGGGCGAAAGCCUGACGGAGCAACGCCGCGUGAGGGAUGAAGGCCUCUGGGCUGUAAACCUCUUUUAUCAAGGAAGAAGAUCUGACGGUACUCGAUGAAUAAGCCACGGCUAAUUCCGUGCCCAGCAGCCGCGGUAAUACGGAGGAUGCAAGCGUUAUCCGGAAUGAUUGGGCGUAAAGGGUCCGCAGGUGGCAUUGAAAGUCUGCUGUUAAAGAGUUUGGCUCAACCAGAUAAAAGCAGUGGAAACUACAAAGCUAGAGUGCGUUCGGGGCAGAAGGAAUUCCUGGUGUAGCGGUGAAAUGCGUAGAGAUCAGGAAGAACACCGGUGGCGAAAGCGUUCUGCUAGGCCUGCACUGACACUGAGGGACGAAAGCCAAGGUAGCGAAAGGGAUUAGAUACCCCUGUAGUCUUGGCCGGAAACGAUGGAUACUAGGCGUUGUCUGUAUCGACCCGAGCCGUGCCGAAGCUAACGCGUUAAGUAUCCCGCCUGGGGAGUACGCACGCAAGUGUGAAACUCAAAGGAAUUGACGGGGGCCCGCACAAGCGGUGGAGUAUGUGGUUUAAUUCGAUGCAACGCGAAGAACCUUACCAAGACUUGACAUCCCGCGAAUCUUGCAGAGAUGCCAGAGUGCCUUCGGGAGCGCCGAGACAGGUGGUGCCUGGCUGUCGUCAGCUCGUGUCGUGAGAUGUUGGGUUAAGUCCCGCAACGAGCGCAACCCUCGUUUUUAGUUGCCAGCAUUAAGUUGGGCACUCUAGAGAGACUGCCGGUGACGAACCGGAGGAAGGUGGGGAUGACGUCAAGUCAUCAUGCCCCUUACGUUUUGGGCUACACACGUACUACAAUGGUCGGGACAAAGGGCAGCAACCCCGCGAGACGAGCGAAUCCCAACAAACCUGGCCUCAGUUCAGAUUGCAGGCUGCAACUCGCCUGCAUGAAGGAGGAAUCGCUAGUAAUCGCAGGUCAGAAUACUGCGGUGAAUUCGUUCCCGGGCCUUGUACACACCGCCCGUCACCCCAUGGAAGCUGGCAACGCCCGAAGUCAUUACUCCAACCAUUCGUGGGGGAGGAUGCCUAAGGCAGUGCUGGUGACUGGGGUGAA